GAUGAACGCUGGCGGCGUGCCUAAUACAUGCAAGUCGAGCGAACGGACGAGAAGCUUGCUUUUCUGAUGUUAGCGGCGGACGGGUGAGUAACACGUGGAUAACCUACCUAUAAGACUGGGAUAACUUCGGGAAACCGGAGCUAAUACCGGAUAAUAUUUUGAACCGCAUGGUUCAAAAGUGAAAGACGGUCUUGCUGUUACUUAUAGAUGGAUCCGCGCUGCAUUAGCUAGUUGGUAAGGUAACGGCUUACCAAGGCAACGAUGCAUAGCCGACCUGAGAGGGUGAUCGGCCACACUGGAACUGAGACACGGUCCAGACUCCUACGGGAGGCAGCAGUAGGGAAUCUUCCGCAAUGGGCGAAAGCCUGACGGAGCAACGCCGCGUGAGUUAUGAAGGUCUUCGGAUCGUAAAACUCUGUUAUUAGGGAAGAACAUAUGUGUAAGUAACUGUGCACAUCUUGACGGUACCUAAUCAGAAAGCCACGGCUAACUACGUG
RNAcentral lists this ribosomal RNA (497 nucleotides) under uncultured bacterium. RNAcentral describes it as "partial 16S ribosomal RNA". It matches the Rfam family "Bacterial small subunit ribosomal RNA", at positions 28 to 507 of the family's 1533-position model. The record is from RNAcentral.